RNAcentral lists this ribosomal RNA (466 nucleotides) under uncultured bacterium. RNAcentral's name for it is "partial 16S ribosomal RNA". It matches the Rfam family "Bacterial small subunit ribosomal RNA", at positions 28 to 507 of the family's 1533-position model. The record is from RNAcentral.
GAUGAACGCUGGCGGCGUGCUUAACACAUGCAAGUCGAACGGAAAGGCCCAAGCUUGCUUGGGUGCUCGAGUGGCGAACGGGUGAGUAACACGUGGGUGAUCCGCCCUGCACUUUGGGAUAAGCCUGGGAAACUGGGUCUAAUACCGGAUAGGACCAUCGUUUAGUGUCGGUGGUGGAAAGUUUUUCGGUGUGGGAUGAGCUCGCGGCCUAUCAGCUUGUUGGUGGGGUAAUGGCCUACCAAGGCGUCGACGGGUAGCCGGCCUGAGAGGGUGUACGGCCACAUUGGGACUGAGAUACGGCCCAGACUCCUACGGGAGGCAGCAGUGGGGAAGAUUGCACAAUGGGCGCAAGCCUGAUGCAGCGACGCCGCGUGGGGGAUGACGGCCUUCGGGUUGUAAACUCCUUUCGCCAAGGACGAAGCGUUUUGUGACGGUACUUGGAGAAGAAGCACCGGCUAACUACGUG